AGAGUUUGAUCCUGGCUCAGAAUAAACGCUGGCGGCGUGCCUAACACAUGCAAGUCGAACGAGAAAGCCUUAAUCUUCGGAUGGGCGAGUAAAGUGGCGCACGGGUGAGUAACGCGUAGGUAACCUACCUCCGGGACCGGGAUAACAGUGCGAAAGUGCUGCUAAUACCGGAUACGAUUGUGGAGCGGGAGCUCUACGAUGAAAGUCGGCCUCUCAGAGAAGCCGAUGUUCGGGGAUGGGCCUGCGUCCUAUCAGCUGGUUGGUAGGGUAAC
RNAcentral lists this ribosomal RNA (272 nucleotides) under uncultured bacterium. RNAcentral describes it as "partial 16S ribosomal RNA". It matches the Rfam family "Bacterial small subunit ribosomal RNA", at positions 8 to 261 of the family's 1533-position model. The record is from RNAcentral.